CACACACACACACACACACACUAAGCAGCCUUCUAGAAACGACUGUACACAGAUACCACACACAGGCGAUCACAGCCGCUCAAUUCCACUUCAUGUCCUCCACACGCACACGCACACACACACACACGCACACACGCACACACCGAGCGACGGACUGAGGAAAAGAGCCUAUAGACCCACCAGCCAUCGACGGCGGUGCCAUUAUACUCUGAGUUCGGGGAGACUGAGGGAAGCGAGCGAGUCAGGGGGGGAAAUGAUGCCAUAAUUAUUCUCUGGGGUCGAAGGGGACGAAAGGGAGCGCAGAGAAAAGCGGCCUGUCCGACCGCCGCGGUGGAUUCAGUCGAUAGCCGGCGGAGGCGGUUUCGAGAGCUAUUGAGAGCUAGAAAAUUUAAAUUUUGAAAACGGCCAAAGUAUCCCAGUUAGUCCUCUGACAAGCCAUCCAGACUUGGCGGACGAGACGCGCGUGCUAGGUGGCCCACCGACCGUUUGUGAAAAAUCCCCUUUCAGGAUUUUAUCUCGCGAACGGUUUCUCCUUUCUUUCAAUUAGGUCUCCGUCUCCUCCCUCCGCUCACCUGUUACCAUCCCCUCCUGCCUCCCCGUCUCCCCCCCCCGCUAUCUCCCCUCCUUUGUUGGCUCCUGUUAAUGAAAGGAUUAGUGUUGGGCUGCGUUCCCGACGAGGAAGAAAGGAAUAUGACUUGCCGAGGCAUUAAAGAAGAGCUUAAUUAUUUUAGAAUGUCAUUAAGAGGAUAAAAAGGUUUAAAAGUCUUAAGAAGGGCAAGGGGAGUGAAUGAAUUAGGAACUGAAAUGGGUGGAUGUUUUUUUUUCUGAACGCUACCACACAUGUCGACACAUUUAUACACGCAGCAGGCAGCAUACACAUCUCUGAACGCCGUAUUUGUAUAAAAAAAAAAGAGCAGCAACAUAAAUUAAAUGAAUCUUUUAAGAAAAAAAAAAAAGUUUACUAUUGAAACGCAUUAUGAAGCAAAUAUACUAACACAGAAUAUUAGCCUAUAGAGGUGCAAAGCCGAACAAACCUGUCCAGUGAUCUUUAAAGAAAAUAAAGAAAAGAAUAAAAAAAAAAAAAUGUCAUUUGUCUUUAUGAGAAACCAGAGGUUUAAUGGAUUUUUUAUCAAUUGUUAUUAUUUGAACAAUUCUGAUUGUUGUUAAUGUUAUUAUUAUGGCCGUUGGUAUUAUUACAAUUGUAAAUGUUAAAGAAACGUACACUUCCCAUGGUUUGUUUUCCGUUCCACUGUAGAGAAAUUGCUGUCUUUUUUCACUCUUACCUUUCCUCUCUCUUCGUCUUCUGUGCCUAGUCGUCUCUUCUCCUGUCCUUCACUCCCGUUUGGUUCAGAGUCUCAUGCGUAACUGUUGAUGUAUAGCUAACUAUUCUUUAUAGGGGAAAGAUACAAAGCACGAAAAAAUUAAAAAGAAUUCCAAAACAACCCCUGGGAUCCGACUGGUUUUUGGGUCUGUUCACUGUGCACAUGGUUCCGUCCAUGGGGGGCAGUGGAGCUCCAGCUGGGAGGACGAAGAUGUAGGAAACCGAGCCCGUCGUGGCAGCUCAAUUAGGACAAAUAAAAUAAACAGAAGGUUCCGCGGCGCCGCUAAUGAAUCACGGGCACAGACAGAAGUCGCGGGUUGAGACAGCAAAAUGUGACCCCGCCGUUGACUUCCGCACAAUCAAUACCCGAUUGUGUCGGGAGGCACUCAGCGUGUGCAUCCGCGUGCGGGCCUGGAUUUGAAAGCCGCUGGAGGUCGCCGGAGGGGACGGAUCGAUGGGUUUCUCUUCCGUCGGUGGCGAGGCGCCGCGGUCGCCGGUCAUAAAGACAGAUGGUCAAACGGCAAUCAAAGUAAUGGACUCGCCGGGCGCCACCGCCGUGAGUUGACACUCGAUAGACAUAUCUGGAGUUUAUGAUGACGCAGAGUUAGCGUUAGCAGCUCCCGCUAUCUGGGCCACCGUGGUGGAUCAGCAAUGAAGACGGAAAUGUCCUCUGUUCUGCUUCUCCUCACGGGAAGGAAGAGGAAAUAUUUCCUUUUAAAUCCUUUUUCACUAGACAAUAAAAACGACACAUUUUCAGCUGCUAGACGUGAUGAAGAACAUAGACGGUGAUCAUGGAAUCAAUCAAAGACACAAGCAGGAACGACAUUGGUAGCAGUUUAUUCCUCGACAUGUAAACGUGGGAACAUUGUCUCGCCAGUAAUGACAGCGAGAAGCCAGUGGACACAAGAAGCCAGUGGACAGGUAGAAGCCAGUGGACACAAGAAGCCAGUGGACAGGUAGAAGUCAGUGGACAGGUAGAAGUCAGUGGACAGGUAGAAGCCAGUGGACAGGUAGAAGCCAGUGGACAGGUAGAAGCCAGUGGACAGGUAGAAGUCAGUGGACAGAAAGAAGUCAGUGGACAGGUAGAAGCCAGUGGACAGGUAGAAGCCAGUGGACAGGUAGAAGUCAGUGGACAGAAAGAAGUCAGUGGACAGGUAGAAGCCAGUGGACAGCCGUCGCUCCCUCGUGCUACUUUCACCAUUUAACGCCCUGGAGCGUCUCUACGUGAGAUAAUUCCCGGUUUACGGCCCUUUUAUGGCGCUCGUAAUUCAUUUCUACGACUUGGCGCAGGCCGUCCAAAAACAAACUCUUCAUUUUUCUGCUGGAUUAGACACAGUUUUGUCCAUCUGUGAAAUCAACCCCCGGUGACCUCAGAACGGGGCACGCGGCUUGUAGUGCGCGGCGGCGUGGCACGAGGCAUUGAUUGUGGAGCCCGAGUGUGACCAGACCCACAACAAUCAGGGAGCAAAGAGAUUUACGGCCGAGAGAACAAUUGAAUCGGCAGAAGCCGGGGAUUUUUCUUUUUUUUUUACCCCCUUUAUCCUGAUUGAUCCAUAAAUAAUCAGAGUAAUGCACAUCCAACAAAUAGCAAAGCAAAAGAAAUCCAUGUGUAUUUUUUGAGUUCAUACAAAAUAGAUGAAAACAAGACAGCGGCUUUGAGAAUAAAUGUAAAAUAGUCACAGAAUCCGUGAAAAUGAUCAACUGACGAGAAUUGCGAGCGACUAAUUCAAAGCCACAGAGCAGAAAUUGAAAAAAAAACAAAAAAAACAAAUUGGAGAGGGAGAGAAUGAGCUGAAAAAGAAAAAGAAAAGAGAAAUGUCACGUCGAUGUCCCGUGCAGAAGGAGAUGGAUUCUCAAAACAACACGUUUCAAGACGAACAAUCCAAGUGGGGCGAGCGAGGCCCGUUUCAUUACACGUUUAAUCAAAUAGUCAUAACCAGGUUAAUGAUGUUUUCCCUACGCCGCCGCGUCCUCUCUGGACCACAUUUCACUGAGUGUUUAAUUAAACGCUGUCACUCAUAUCUACAUCGCUGGUGGUCGGCUUAGCACAGACUUAGAGGGCUUAUGAUAAUACCACUGGGGGGGGAGAGGGGGGGGGGGGGCAGUCAAAGACAACAGACAUCUGCGAUCAGGAUUUCAUCGCCGAGAGACUUCUCGCUGACAUUUGGUGUGGGCCCUGAUAAUUAACUGGCCUUUUCAUUUACAAGUUAUUCAUGGAGUCUGCGCCAGGUUGCUGAUUAGUCAACAGGCGGACAACAAACGCCGCGCCGUGUUUGUUCUCCGUCAGUCCGCAAGCUGUUGCAAACACUUGCCUUUUUUUUUUUUUUUUUUUUUAACCCGCAUGCACACAAAACAUGGCGGGAACACAAAAACAACGGCGCGCUUGUUUGAGCGGGAAGACUUCAGACCUCUGGGAAGACUUUGGCUUUCAGGGAGCGUUUGGCUGAGGACCAGGGGGCCGCCCGCACGGCCUCGCGCAGCGCCGCGCGCACCGAUUUCCCUCCGGACGCCGCCGCUGCUCCCGGAGGCGGGAGGGGGGCGACCGAGAGGGGAAAGGACGCCCUCUCUCCCCCGACUCGUUUCCCGGGCGGAGUGAAGAGGAUCGGGGGCACGAGGCCGUACAGCUGAAAGAGGAACACGGCGACGGCGUGAACCCAGGCGGGAAGAUUGGUGCCUGAGGUGAAGAGCAGGAGGGCGUGGACGAUGUGGAGCGGCAGGCACAGGAGGACUAAAAGGGAAAGGGACAGCGCCGGGGAACGCGCCUGCCGCGACGCACGUUUAGUGGGGUCUGCGUGACUGAGAGGCGUCUUCCCGGGCCUGACGCACAACAGGUCCAGGUAGACCAGCAGCAGGCAAAGCAAGGGGAGCAUGAACGCCGUCGUCCCGUGGACGUAGAUCAAGAACUGGGGGCUGAGAACGGUGUCGGCGGCGCACACCCCCCAGUGGCUGCUGUGAAUCUCGGCGUAGGUGAAGUUGUGCAUGUCUUCCACGUAAAACUUUGACAGGAAGCCCCCGUACGGAAGGUACUUGCCGAUGACCUUGCGCCCGUGGUCGUACCUAAGGGGCGGGGAAGACGUAAGGCGGGGCGAAGGCGGCGGCGUCGUCCAGUUGCCGUGCAGCCCGAGGCCGGCCGUGUCCGGGUCGGUCGCGCGGCUCCUCCAGGUGUCGAGGACGUCCGAGCCGAUGAACUGGGAGAAGGAGGACAGGACGGAGGCCACCCAGCACAGGAGGACCAGGCAGAGAGCUCGCUGGCGGGUCAUCGCCGAGGAGUACCUGCCGUUCACAAACACAGCAGUGACAGCAAGACGCCUUGAUGCCAAAAUAGACCUAUGUAGGAAAUCUGAUGUACAAAAACCUCCCUUCUACCCACACGAACUGGUGCGAAGACAUUGAAGCCCAUCAAAACGAUAGAUAAUUCUCUCUUUCUAACGCUGAAGGCCGGACUUGUAGGUCACCCUCUCUCAAAUAUCAAAAGGCCCUGAGCCCGUUGAAAUGUGCUCCCUCACCUCUGCUUCUCUCCGAAGGCAGCGUAAGCAGUGUGUGAUACAAAUCUUCCUGGUGAUCAAUGAGAGGCCUAUCGAUGUGUCACGCGGGGGAAAAUCUUGACUUUCUGCUGUUUUUUGAUCUUCCCAUAUGGAUUUUUUUUUUGCUUUACUGCCGUCUUCGCCCUCACCCGUGCUAUGAAAAUGUUACAUGCCGUUGCCAUCGACGGUAUGUAGUGCUGUUUUAUAUUCAUGUUGUUUUGUGUGUUUAUUCAAUACCGUGACAUUCAACAGCUCUUGGUUCUUCCACUGCUCAAACUGACAGACUUACCUGUCUGCCAAGCGGUGCCGCAGGUGGCCAUCCAGCGUGAGGAGCAUCAACAGGAACAUGGUGAACUGCCUGACCAGCAGGGGGCAACACACCAAGGUUAUGCACGUGUACAGACACUGCGGGGUUCGCUGGUUGAGCAACACGUUCGCGGGGAUCCCGGCUGCGCCCCCGACGGCGCCCGCCCAGCCCAAGCACAGGCGGAGACAGCAUGAGACGCUGCCGGGUUGGAGCGUGGCCCCCUGGGAUCCGGCCCCGCUGCCGCUCGCGGCCAUGCACAACCUCACGCUCGCCACGACCACAGCCGCCGACAGGAUGCACUGGCACAGAGAGUACACCCCCAUGCCGUCCAUUUCC
Molecule: long non-coding RNA, 5488 nt
Organism: Gasterosteus aculeatus aculeatus (three-spined stickleback)
Lineage: Eukaryota; Metazoa; Chordata; Actinopteri; Perciformes; Gasterosteidae
Source: Ensembl